AGUGAACGCUGGCGGUAGGCCUAACACAUGCAAGUCGAACGGCAGCACAGUAAGAGCUUGCUCUUACGGGUGGCGAGUGGCGGACGGGUGAGGAAUACAUCGGAAUCUACUUUUUCGUGGGGGAUAACGUAGGGAAACUUACGCUAAUACCGCAUACGACCUACGGGUGAAAGCAGGGGAUCUUCGGACCUUGCGCGAUUGAAUGAGCCGAUGUCGGAUUAGCUAGUUGGCGGGGUAAAGGCCCACCAAGGCGACGAUCCGUAGCUGGUCUGAGAGGAUGAUCAGCCACACUGGAACUGAGACACGGUCCAGACUCCUACGGGAGGCAGCAGUGGGGAAUAUUGGACAAUGGGAGCAAGCCUGCUCCAGCCAUACCGCGUGGGUGAAGAAGGCCUUCGGGUUGUAAAGCCCUUUUGUUGGGAAAGAAAAGCAGCAGGUUAAUACCCCGCUGUUCUGACGGUACCCAAAGAAUAAGCACCGGCUAACUUCGU
This 491-nucleotide ribosomal RNA is filed under the name uncultured bacterium. Its description in RNAcentral is "partial 16S ribosomal RNA". It matches the Rfam family "Bacterial small subunit ribosomal RNA", at positions 29 to 506 of the family's 1533-position model. The record is from RNAcentral.